GGUUUUGCUUCACAGAUUAUAAUUCUGAUGCAAGAGCCCUUAGCAGUAAAGAACUAGGAAUGAGCAUCAUCUCUACUAUGAAGUCAAUGGUUGUUACCACAUCUAACCUAGUUCCCUUGCCAAAGAACUUGCCCUCCCGUACAGAUGACUUCCGGUUAAACAUGAGAUCCAGACUUCCUGAGAAGAUGUGAAUUUACAAAAUCUCGGGCUGAGAACUUUCUUUUUGUCAUCUAGAAAGCAGAUUAUAUUUCAUGUUUCGCUCUGAUCAUCAGAAGCAGAACGAGAAAGAUGUUCAUGCAGAGGCGUGAGGUUCAGGGAAAAGUCUGGAUCCUUUUGGUGAACUGCCCCAGAUGUAAACAUGUUUUGGCGAAUGCUUUAUCGCUUAAUAUGUAAGUUGUUCUUUUGAAACAUUUGUAGUUAAUUGCAUGUUAAAGAAAAUAAACCAGUCUGAAGUGAGAA
Molecule: long non-coding RNA, 459 nt
Organism: Hyaena hyaena (striped hyena)
Lineage: Eukaryota; Metazoa; Chordata; Mammalia; Carnivora; Hyaenidae
Exons: 2
Source: RefSeq, a predicted model, not a curated record